UUUCGUAACCCACUAUUAAAGCAGCAGUUGGAUCAGAUUUCUUAUCAACUGGAAGAGCCAAACUUUCUACUGAUCAGAGAACAGCUUGCUGUCUCUUGAUGUGGAACCUGAGGCCUGAACUAGAAGAAGGAAUUGCAGUCAUCAGUCUGCAGGAAAAGCUCUAGUGAGCAGUGGAGAGAACGCUUUAAAGGGACUCGCCAAAGAACAAAGUUCACUCCCCCGUUUUGGAUUAAACAGCGCUGUGAUCUUGGACACGUUAGUGCAGGGCGCUCAGUAACUCCCAGGUAAGGAUAACUCCCCCGGUCGGCAGACCGCUCCUUUGACACCUGCCCUCGUCGCCGCGCCACAUCGCCUUCCCCCCACCUUUGCCUUCCCGGUCCAA
Herpailurus yagouaroundi (jaguarundi) is the source of this 382-nucleotide long non-coding RNA. RefSeq lists it as uncharacterized. The transcript has 3 exons. The record is from RefSeq and is a predicted model, not a curated record. NCBI's taxonomy places the organism in Eukaryota, Metazoa, Chordata, Mammalia, Carnivora, Felidae.